RNAcentral lists this ribosomal RNA (483 nucleotides) under uncultured bacterium. RNAcentral describes it as "partial 16S ribosomal RNA". It matches the Rfam family "Bacterial small subunit ribosomal RNA", at positions 29 to 506 of the family's 1533-position model. The record is from RNAcentral.
AUUGAACGCUGGCGGCAUGCUUUACACAUGCAAGUCGAACGGCAGCGCGGGCUUCGGCCUGGCGGCGAGUGGCGAACGGGUGAGUAAUACAUCGGAACGUGCCCAGUAGUGGGGGAUAGCUCGGCGAAAGCCGGAUUAAUACCGCAUACGACCUGAGGGUGAAAGCGGGGGAUCUUCGGACCUCGCGCUAUUGGAGCGGCCGAUGGCAGAUUAGCUAGUUGGUGGGGUAAAGGCCUACCAAGGCGACGAUCUGUAGCUGGUCUGAGAGGGCGACCAGCCACACUGGGACUGAGACACGGCCCAGACUCCUACGGGAGGCAGCAGUGGGGAAUUUUGGACAGUGGGCGAAAGCCUGAUCCAGCAAUGCCGCGUGUGUGAUGAAGGCCUUCGGGUUGUAAAGCACUUUUGGCGGGAACGAAAAGGACUGUGCCAAUACCACGGUUCGAUGACGGUACCCGCAGAAUAAGCACCGGCUAACUACGU